GGGCCAUAGCUUAGUGGUAGAGCAUCUGUUUUGCAUGCAAAAGGUCUUGGGUCCAUUCCCAAACAUCUCCG
Podarcis lilfordi (Lilford's wall lizard) is the source of this 71-nucleotide non-coding RNA. NCBI's taxonomy places the organism in Eukaryota, Metazoa, Chordata, Lepidosauria, Squamata, Lacertidae. The record is from the annotation of a GenBank genome assembly.